This 67-nucleotide transfer RNA is filed under the name Ruspolia lineosa. RNAcentral describes it as "tRNA-Phe". Lineage: Eukaryota; Metazoa; Arthropoda; Insecta; Orthoptera; Tettigoniidae. The record is from RNAcentral.
AUUUAAAUAGCUUAUAUAAUAGAGCAUAACAUUGAAGCUGUUAAGGAGACAAAUUUGUCUUUAAAUA